UUUUUUUUAAGACCAAGGGCAAAGCUGCCUCUUCAUUCAUUGAACUCGUAUUCAAAUAGGGUUUUCCCAAAGGAUACAAUGGGCUUCCCCUUUAAGUCACAUUACAUUGAAAAUUGAAAGCAAUUAAAUCAGAAAGUCUUUCAUCCAUCUAGGUUUAUUGAUAUGACGUUUGGGCCUGUUGAUGUUGUUGGGCCCUGGUGUAACAUUACCAUCCGCUGGCUGAGACACUUUGUCCUCAAAGUGAGUCUGAUAUUCUUGUUAGGUUAAGUGGAAUUGUUGGGCUGAUUGGUUGGGCUCGGCUGUUAUAGGAAUUUGGUGAAUGUGUGGGAGUGAAGGUUUGGACAUAGGUGUAGGUGUUGUUGGACUCGGGUUAGGGUUUUCUACGUUUGAGGUAUUAAGGGAAGUGGGUGAGGCACGGGGCUCGAGGGGGGAACUAAUGUGGUUUACGGUAGUUGAUGUGGGGACUUGAGAUAAAGGGUUAUUAUGAGGAGUGGGUGGGGCACGGGUUUUUAGGGGUGGGCCAGGGGCAUUUAAAAGAUUAUGUGUAGUGGCAUGCGCAGAGUUAUGAGUGAGGUUACGUGUAGUUGAGGCUUUCUGAAUAUUAGGUGAAGUGUGGGGCUCAAGAUUUGGGCUCUUUGACACAGCUGGGAUUAGAUGUGUUGGCGCAUUUUGAUUGGGCGGCAAGGGCGGUGUAGUCAGAGGGUCAGGUGUGGUUUGAAUUGUGGAACUUAAAGGGUUAGUCGAGUUAAUGUUCUUGCUGGAGUUUGAGUUUGGGUGUGGGGAGGGAUAUGGUGUUGGUCCUCUGAAAAGCCGGAGAAGUGAGACGUGGAAGACCGGAUGAAUGCGAGAGGAGGGAGGUAAUCUAAGCUCAUACGCAACGGUGCCUAUGCGGCGGCUUAUUUGGUAUGGUCCCGAGUAGCGAGGAGAUAGUUUUUGACAGGGACGACGUUCCACAGAUUGUUGGCGGUAUGGUUGGAGGCGAACCCAGACCCAAUCAUCUACGUUGAACGUGCGGUCCGAACGGUGCCGAUUUGCCUGGUCGCACAUGCGUUGGCGAGUUCUGCGGAGAUUAUGUUUGAGAGAGUGCAACACUAAGGUAUGCUGAUGUAGCAGAUCCGAGAUAGUGGUGCCAACGCGAGGCGUGUGCAACAAAUCCAAGAUGGUGGGAGGUGGACGACCGUAUAGAGCAUGGAAGGGAGAGGUGCCAAUAGCCGAGUGAUGAGUCGUAUUAUGCCAUAACUCUGCGAGGUGGAGGUAUUGGUACCAUGUGUGCGGGUGGUCCUCCGUGAAACAUCGCAGGUAAGCUUCGAGCCCUCUAUUUAAAACCUCAGUUUGCCCAUCCGUUUGUGGGUGAUAGGCAGAGCUAAAUUUUAAUACCCUGAGCUUUGAAUAGUUGUCUCCAGAACGUGCUAACAAAGAGUCGAUCUCGAUCUGAUACGACUGUUUUUGGCAUUCCAUGAAGGCGGAAGAUCUCCACAGCAAAGCGUCGUGCGAGUUGUUGCGCCGUGAAGUGGGUGGGAAGAGCCAGAAAAUGGGCGUACUUGGUGAGGCGGUCGCAGAUAACCCAAACUACCGUGUGACCCGCAGAGGAAGGUAAGUGAGUUAUGAAAUCCAUAGACAAAUCUUCCCAUACUUGUGCUGGUGUCGGUAGAGGUUGAAGUAACCCCUGACUUUUUUUUGGCAUGUAUUUAUUUCUUUGGCAAGUGACGCACUGUUGGAGAAAUUGUUUCACAUCCCGCGUCCAUCCUGGCCAAUAAAACGAGGCAGCAAUUCGGGCGAGGGUAGGCUUGAGGCUGGAAUGGCCAUUUAUGUGGGACUCAUGCAUUUCGUGGAGGAUCUGUUCUCUAAAUUUAUUGGACGCCGGAAGGAACAGUCGAUGUCGAAAGAACAACAUCCCAUUGCGAACUGAGAACAAAUUGGGUUGGGGUUGAUCGUGCGUGCACGAUUGAAUUAACUGGGCACCUUCCGAGGUUUUGAAGAACUGUUUUAACUCUUGAAAUAAGAGGGGAAUCGGUGAAGACAAAGCAAACAACAACGAAGGUGUUGGUGUUCCUUGGCGGGAUAGAGCAUCAACAACUACAUUUUGUGUUCCAGGUCGGUAUAAAAUUUGAAAAUCAUAUCCUUGUAAUUUUGCUAUCCAUUUCUGUUGUUCUGGUGUUUGAAUCGUCUGUGACAGUAAUGUAUGCAAGCUUUGUUGAUCUGUGAAAAUUUUGAAGUGUUGGCCUAGUAAGUACUGACGCCAUUUCUUUACUGCUUCUGUUAUUGCAUACAUCUCCCUUACGUACACGGAUGACGCUUGGAGUCGUGGACACAUCUUCUUGCUGAAGAAUGAAAGUGGGCGUUUGUUCUGGCUGAGCACUGCCCCCACUGCCACUGCAGACGCAUCGGUCUCCACUACAAAGGGCUGGCUGAAAUCUGGAAGGUGUAGUGUAGGAACCCUUGCAAUUUGUAAUUUCAAUUCGGUGAAAGCUGUAUCAGCGGUCACAGGCCAGAUAAAUUUCUGGUUAUGUAAUAAGUCGGUGAGAGGAGCGGUGAGAGUGGUGUAAUGUCGAACAAAUUUUCUAUAAAAGCCGGUGAGACCGAGGAAACCCGAGUUCCGUGAGUGAACGUGGCUGUGGCCAAUAAUGUAUGGCAGUGACUUUUUCUGGGUCCGGGGAAACACCACCAAGAGAAAUGAUAUGACCUAAGUAAUGAACUUGAGUGGUUGCAAAACUGCACUUGGUUAGCUUCACAGAGAAUUGCUUAGUGUCUAAGAGAUCCAGAAUAAUCUGUAAAUGAGUAAUAUGAUCUUGUAAUGUAGGACUAUAAAUUAAAAUAUCAUAAAAAAAAAACUAGGACAAACCGCCUUAAAUAUGGUCGAAGAAGAUCAUUCAUAGCAGCUUGGAAUGUAGAGGGUGCAUUAGUCAAGCCGAAUGGCAUGACUAAAAAUUCGUAAUGUCCAUCAGUGGUCCUAAAAGCUGUCUUAUGGGUGUCCUUUGGGGUGACUCUUAUUUGGUGAUACCCUGCGUAUAAAUCCAGCUUAGUGAAUACUGUAGCUGAACCUAAUUCAUCUAGCAAUUCAUCGAUGGUUGGUAUUGGGAAGCGGUCACGGAUGGUGGCUGCAUUUAAGGCUCUGUAGUCAACACAAAAACGCCAACUACCAUCUUUCUUUUUUAUAAGGAGGACAGGGGAUGAAAAAGGGUUGUUGCUAGGUUUGAUGAAACCAUCUUGCAACAUUUCCUUAAUGAGAGUAGUGAUAGUUUCCUUCUAGGAGUGUGGGUAGCGAUAUGGUUUAACAUUGAUAGGAGGUGUGUGUGGGAGGAGGGGAAUUUGAUGGUCAUGUAACCUCGAUGGGGGUAGCCCGUGGGGUAUUUGAAAAAUUGAGUGAUGUUGGAGGAGAAUGGCUUGGAUGGGAAAAGGUAAGGAGUAUAAUGGGGAAGAGGGAUUUUGUAGGUUGCUUUCUAGCUGGCUUGGGGAUGAUGAUGGGCUAUCAAUUGAUAAGAGGUGGAGAGAUGCAAUGGAGUUAGUAGAGAGAUAUUGACAAAACUGAUGGUAGGUUGUUCUGGUGGGUGUAGAAGUGGUUGUCGCUUGUAGAGUGAUGGGUUGGUUUUGGUAGGUGAAGGCAAUGCUGGAGAUGGAAAAAUCUGCCUUAAUAGGUCCUAAGGUACGCAACCAGUCAAUACCCAAUACUACAUCAGCUCCUUCAAUGGGUAAGAGGUAAAAGGGAAUUGUAAAAGUUGAUGUUUGGAGGGAAAUGUCGACGGAAGGACAAAUGCCUUGGCAUUGGAUAAAGGCACCAUUUCCGACUAUCACUGACAGUGGGGGACUAGGUUGAAUGGGUAGGUGAAGGUGGUGAGCAAUACGCGGCUAAAAUAUAUUAUGGGAGCUGCCAGAGUCAACCAGAACGGUGAUAGGAAGGUUGUGAAUCAUUCCAGUAAAUUUCAGGGUUUGGGGCGAUGGAUUACCAGAUAGAGCCAGUGGUGAUAAAUGAAAAUGUAUGGUCUCUAGGUACUCUAUAGUGGUGGAUGGUUCUUCCACAGGAUCCAGGGGUGGGUCAAGAUCAUCCAAGAGCAGCAAGAAUCGAGACGGUGUGCAUUUGUGUCCUGGGAUAUACUUCUCGUCACAGUUAUAACAUAAUCCCUGUGCAUGACGCUCUUGUAGUUGAGUUAGGGUGAGUCGUUUAAUGGGUAGGGUAGUCUGUGAUUGGUGGUUUGGAGUGGUUCUUGUGGGUGGUGACUGGGAAGAAGUAUGGAUGGUGUUGUGGUUCUGAACUUGAAAAGGGCGUGGGAUUCUAGGUUUGGAAUCACGGUAUUUGUCUUCAAUGAGUUUAGCGAGACCAAUUGCUUGAGAGAUGGAGUAUGGAUUCAGAAUGGAAAAUUCUCUACGAAUAUCUGGGUGGAGACCCGAGAUAAAACAAUUGAGAAUAAUAUCUGGAGUGAGACCGACUAUGCAGUUACAGAGUUUUUCAAACCGAGUUUGGUAUUCUGUUACCGUGGUUACCUGUUGUAGUUUGAAGAGCGAUGCUUGAUGGUUGGUGUAUGUUGAAGGCCCAAAGCGGAGCUCCAGGGCACGGGUGAAUGAUACCCAGUCGGUGACCAGGUUGUUCUGGUGUAACCAUUUAAACCAGCUGAGUGCUUCGCCUUUCAUGUGAAAAGCGACCAUCGAUAGUCUUUGUGCAGGGGGAAUCUGGUAAAAUGAAAAAUAUUGUUCAGCUUGGAAAAGCCAGUCCAGGGGAUCAGAGCCCUCAAAGAAAGCCAACUGCAACUUAGGUGGUCUAAUAUUAGAAGGGUUUGGUGGAUUGUAUUGUGGAUGAGGGUUAGGGUUUGGCAUGGUUUGUGGAGCAGGGAUCUGAGGGUUAUUGGGGAUGGGUGUUGUAGCUGCUGGAACAAAAGGGGUUUCUGCAGAGGAGGAACUUUGGUGGUUAUGUGGAGGUAUCGUAUGAUCUAAGAGAAGGGUAAGGGUGGACUGGAUGGAGUCGUUUCUGGCUUCCAUGGUGGCGUGACGGGUUUGUUGUUCAUCCAUCUGGAAUUGAAGGGCAGAGAGACGUUCCUGGAUGGAAUUGAGUAUGUCUUCUAGGUCUUUGGCUUGGAGUUUGGGAGCCAUGAGAAUCAAUGAAAGCACCAAUGUUAGGUUUUCGCUACAGUAAUACUAAGAACUAAGAACUACGAGAGAAAAAAAUUUUAAGACCAAGGGCAAAGCUGCCUCUUCAUUCAUUGAACUCGUAUUCAAAUAGGGUUUUCCCAAAGGAUACAAUGGGCUUCCCCUUAAAGUCACAUUACAUUGAAAAUUGAAAGCAAUUAAAUUGAACAUUCAUUAGGCCAUUAAAUCAGAAAGUCUUUCAUCCAUCUAGGUUUAUUGAUAUGACAUUUGGGCCUGUUGAUGUUGUUGGGCACUGGUGUAACACUGUCAUAACUGAGUCAUAUCUUGUAAUACAGUUUUAGCUUACACAAUUCACAGGCAUAUCUAUUCCUGGUUUAGAACCAAUUUUAACUAAAGGUUAUCUACAAGAGAAGGAACCUGAAAAAGUAGUUGUUGUAGCUUGUAUACAAAUAACUUUACUCAUGACUUGCAGAAUUUUUGUGCUGGAAAAGUCUGAAAAUUUAUGUCUUGUAAGAAAAAUAAAUUAAUAAAGUUUACGAAUUAUGUCACAUUUUUUAUGGGAUGAAGAAUAGAAAUACACUCUCUAACCUAUUUUUCAUGAUUGAUUAAAAUUUACUCUCUGCAUCCCAUGAUAAC
Molecule: long non-coding RNA, 5715 nt
Filed under: Phaseolus vulgaris (common bean)
Lineage: Eukaryota; Viridiplantae; Streptophyta; Magnoliopsida; Fabales; Fabaceae
Description: long non-coding RNA (PVUL_LNC004908)
Source: RNAcentral